CCCCAGACUCCUACGGGAGGCAGCAGUGGGGAAUAUUGCACAAUGGGGGAAACCCUGAUGCAGCGACGCCGCGUGAGUGAAGAAGUAUUUCGGUAUGUAAAGCUCUAUCAGCAGGGAAGAUAAUGACGGUACCUGAGUAAGAAGCCCCGGCUAACUACGUGCCAGCAGCCGCGGUAAUACGUAGGGGGCAAGCGUUAUCCGGAUUUACUGGGUGUAAAGGGAGCGUAGACGGCAUGGCAAGUCUGAAGUGAAAGCCCGGGGCUCAACCGCGGGACUGCUUUGGAAACUGUUAAGCUGGAGUGCAGGAGAGGGAAGUGGAAUUCCUAGUGUAGCGGUGAAAUGCGUAGAUAUUAGGAGGAACACCAGGGGGGAAGGCGGCUUACUGGACUGUAACUGAAGUUGAGGCUCGAAAGCGUGGGGAGCAAACAGGAUUAGAUACCCGGGUAAC
This 448-nucleotide ribosomal RNA is filed under the name uncultured bacterium. RNAcentral describes it as "bacterial SSU rRNA". It matches the Rfam family "Bacterial small subunit ribosomal RNA", at positions 329 to 794 of the family's 1533-position model. The record is from RNAcentral.